GGCCCCGGGGAAAACAUGCGGGGUCGAACCUGCCCGGUGACCAACAGAAAUGUAGUUAAACGGCCGCUGUAAUGGGUGCGAAGGUAGCAAAAUCUAUUGCCCUUUAAUUGGGGGCGUGUGAAUGGUUUGACGUAGGCUAAGCUGUCUCGACAGGAGAUAGCGAACUUUACUUUCGGGUGCAAAGGCCCGAAUAAAAAGGCUGGACGAGAAGACCCUGUAGAGCUUUACCUUUAGGUUUGAUUGGGGCAAUCGGAGAGAAUAAAAACCCUCUCUAUGGGCACAGAGCGAUAGCGAGCCGCAAAGAGCGACUAGUAGAAAAAGUUACCGCAGGGAUAACAGCGUAAUCUUUCUUGAGAGUUCAUAUUGACAGAAGGGUUUGCGACCUCGAUGUUGAAUUAGGGCGUUCUUGGGGCGCAGCAGCUUCAAAGAUAGGUCUGUUCGACCUUUAAAGCCCU
RNAcentral lists this ribosomal RNA (455 nucleotides) under Laternula sp. 1 JT-2017. Its description in RNAcentral is "partial 16S ribosomal RNA". It matches the Rfam family "Bacterial large subunit ribosomal RNA", at positions 1827 to 2597 of the family's 2925-position model. Lineage: Eukaryota; Metazoa; Mollusca; Bivalvia; Laternulidae. The record is from RNAcentral.